Rattus norvegicus (Norway rat) is the source of this 387-nucleotide non-coding RNA. NCBI's taxonomy places the organism in Eukaryota, Metazoa, Chordata, Mammalia, Rodentia, Muridae. The record is from RefSeq and is a predicted model, not a curated record.
AUUCUAGAAAGAAGUGGUUGGGAUGCCUACAGUUUCUGUGUCUAUACUGUUUUCUGUCCUCCAGACUGCACCUCCAGCUUCUAUUUUCAGUCUACUAAAGAAGAAAAGACAAGGGCCUGUUUUGUAGAUCACGCUGCAUAAAAAGAUCAAUGUGACAAAGAGUCUGUAAUGGUUGGAAAGGAGGAGAGUCUGGCAGAAACAGUAAGAAAGCUAUGGACCUGAUCUAUGUAUUUAAAAAUGUUGCUAGAAAAGGAACGUAAACUCACCUAAAAUGCACUUGGACCUCAUCAUGUAUGCAGAAAAUUGGGCCAUUUUCUUUUUCUGCUGAAUUGAGGAAAAACUCCAAGAACUACUCAAAGAAGGUGUUUAGAUGCAUCUAAAAUUAUU